AGCAGAGCAUUGGGUCUAAAGUGUGCGCAGGCGGUUUUGUAAGACAGGCGUGAAAUCCCCGGGCUCAACCUGGGAAUGGCGCUUGUGACUGCAAAGCUGGAGUGCGGCAGAGGGGGAUGGAAUUCCGCGUGUAGCAGUGAAAUGCGUAGAUAUGCGGAGGAACACCGAUGGCGAAGGCAAUCCCCUGGGCCUGCACUGACGCUCAUGCACGAAAGCGUGGGGAGCAAACAGGAUUAGAUACCCUGGUAGUCCACGCCCUAAACGAUGUCAACUGGUUGUUGGGUCUCUUCUGACUCAGUAACGAAGCUAACGCGUGAAGUUGACCGCCUGGGGAGUACGGCCGCAAGGUUGAAACUAAAAAAUUGACG
This 368-nucleotide ribosomal RNA is filed under the name uncultured Hydrogenophaga sp. RNAcentral describes it as "bacterial SSU rRNA". It matches the Rfam family "Bacterial small subunit ribosomal RNA", at positions 544 to 915 of the family's 1533-position model. The record is from RNAcentral. Lineage: Bacteria; Pseudomonadati; Pseudomonadota; Betaproteobacteria; Burkholderiales; Comamonadaceae.